RNAcentral lists this long non-coding RNA (738 nucleotides) under Vitis vinifera (wine grape). RNAcentral describes it as "long non-coding RNA (VVIN_LNC000583)". The record is from RNAcentral. Lineage: Eukaryota; Viridiplantae; Streptophyta; Magnoliopsida; Vitales; Vitaceae.
GUCAAUAUGGGUCAUCACAGAUGUAUAGGCUUAUUCAUAGAAACCAGAAUCAGCAACUCUUAAGUCAAACUACACACAAAUUACUUCCAUUUCUUGAACUUCCCACCACCAAACAUUCCAUGCUGCCCAUGCUUCCCAAACUUUCCAUGCUUCCCAUGCUUGAACUUGCCACCAUGGUGCUUAAACUUUCCGUGACCAUGGCUUCCUCCGUAGAAGCCAUGUCCCACAUUGUGACCGCCAUGGCCGCCAUGGCCUAGCUGGUGGGCACCAUAAGCAGCAGCAGCUGCAGCAGCACCCCCAGCUAGCAUUGUCCCCAUGCCUCCAUGUCCUGAAGAUCAUAAGUAAGGAUUCAACAACUUGCAGAAUAUCAACACAAGUAUAAUUGAAAGAACAGUUCCUUGCUCAAAAGAGGCACUUUCAAUGUCACAAAUCCAAUCACCUGAUGACCACUGGAGGGCUAAAGGUCUAGUGGAAACCAGCAUGACUCCAAAUCAUCAGAUUUUGGAGUUCAUUGAAUGUUCACAAUGUUCGGUAACUUAGAAAUUAAGAGGAAAAAAUACACUUCCUACCAGCUCAAAACAAUUUGCCUGUGGUUGACAGUGUACAUUACAUGCGUCAUGCCAAACAUGUACAUUGAAUAUCUCAAAUGUAGAAUAUCAGUCAAAAAAGUACUUGGACAGCAAGUAAAAUAUGUACAGCAUUUGCUUUCCCACAAAGCAUCACAAAAACAACUAGCAG